Molecule: ribosomal RNA, 510 nt
Filed under: uncultured bacterium
Lineage: Bacteria
Description: partial 16S ribosomal RNA
Rfam family: Bacterial small subunit ribosomal RNA
Source: RNAcentral
AUUGAACGCUGGCGGCAUGCCUAACACAUGUAAGUCGAACGGCAGCACGGUUAAGUACUUGUACUUAAUGGGUGGCGAGUGGCGAACGGGUGAGUAAUGCGCAGGAAUAUGCCGUAAAGAGGGGGAUAACUGGGGGAAACUCAAGCUAAUACCGCAUAAGCUCUGAGGAGUAAAGCUGGGGACCUUCGGGCCUGGCGCUUUAAGCAUAGCCUGCGUCCGAUUAGCUAGUUGGUAGGGUAAAGGCCUACCAAGGCGACGAUCGGUAGCUGGUCUGAGAGGAUGAACAGCCACACUGGGACUGAGACACGGCCCAGACUCCUACGGGAGGCAGCAGUGGGGAAUAUUGGACAAUGGGGGCAACCCUGAUCCAGCAAUGCCGCGUGUGUGAAGAAGGCCUGAGGGUUGUAAAGCACUUUCAGUGGGGAGGAGGAUUGAUUGGUUAAGAGCUGAUUAAUUGGACGUUACCUACAGAAGAAGCACCGGCUAACUCCGUGCCAGCCGCCGCCGUAA